Molecule: ribosomal RNA, 253 nt
Filed under: uncultured bacterium
Lineage: Bacteria
Description: partial 16S ribosomal RNA
Rfam family: Bacterial small subunit ribosomal RNA
Source: RNAcentral
UACGAGGGGGGCGAGCGUUGUUCGGAAUUAUUGGGCGUAAAGGGUGCGUAGGCGGUUUGGUAAGUCUCUUGUGAAAUCUAUGGGCUCAACUCAUAGUCUGCAAGGGAAACUGCCGGGCUUGAGUGUGGGAGAGGUGAGUGGAAUUCCUGGUGUAGCGGUGAAAUGCGUAGAUAUCAGGAGGAACACCUGUGGCGAAAGCGGCUCACUGGACCACAACUGACGCUGAGGCGCGAAAGCUAGGGGAGCAAACAGG